RNAcentral lists this long non-coding RNA (751 nucleotides) under Durio zibethinus. Its description in RNAcentral is "long non-coding RNA (DZIB_LNC001607)". The record is from RNAcentral. Lineage: Eukaryota; Viridiplantae; Streptophyta; Magnoliopsida; Malvales; Malvaceae.
UUUUUUUAGCUUAGUUUUUAUUAAAAAAUAAACAAAAAAAUAAAUAAAAAUAAAAUACCUAUUGGGCCAAAGCCUACACCAAAGUAAACCAUAUAUUGGGCUCAAAGCCCAAACAAGAUAAAGCUAUUUGCUAGGCUUAAAGCCCAAAUACCAACUAGGGUAGGCCUAUUCAAAGCCUAAAAGGCCUAAUAAACAUCUGAAAAGUCCAAUGAUCUUAACAAAAUUGAAAUCGAGAAAUCAUAUACAAGCUCUGGAUGUAAUGGAGUGUCUACAUAUAUAUUGCUUUCAAUACAUUUAAAUGAUAAGAGAAUUAAGUAAAAAUGUUUUAAUACCAUUAUUUACAUUUAUUAAAAUCAAUGGUUUUAAGAAGUGUAUAAAAUUUUUUAGUUUUGUACUAUGAAAGUUAAUCCCGUUCUCUCUCUUUUUCUAUAUAUAUAUAUAUCAUAACGUUUAGAUCUGUGGACCUAUCACUGAACAUUGACGUGAGGAGUCGCCACCAAUCUUUUUUGUUUAGGAGUGAUUGGCCACCAAUAUUUUUUUGUUUAGGCGCUUUAACGACAUUCGAAUAGAACUCAACGUUGUGCGCUAUCUUUCAAGGUCAGAUAGGGCAUAGGGGUUGGCAGAAGAAGUAAAGGAAUGAAUUCCCGAUCUCCUAUAGAAUUAGUCUUAGUAGUGAUUCCGUCAAGAUCAAGAUAUCGAGUAGUUUAGUUCACAUAGAUCGAUCAUAGGCCUGCCUCUGUGCCUGUGCCUU